This 253-nucleotide ribosomal RNA is filed under the name uncultured bacterium. RNAcentral describes it as "partial 16S ribosomal RNA". It matches the Rfam family "Bacterial small subunit ribosomal RNA", at positions 524 to 776 of the family's 1533-position model. The record is from RNAcentral.
UACGAAGGGUGCAAGCGUUAAUCGGAAUUACUGGGCGUAAAGCGCGCGUAGGUGGUUCAGUAAGUUGGAAGUGAAAUCCCCGGGCUCAACCUGGGAACUGCUUUCAAAACUGCUGAGCUAGAGUACGGUAGAGGGUGGUGGAAUUUCCUGUGUAGCGGUGAAAUGCGUAGAUAUAGGAAGGAACACCAGUGGCGAAGGCGACCACCUGGACUGAUACUGACGCUCAUGCACGAAAGCGUGGGGAGCAAACAGG